Long non-coding RNA from Myotis brandtii (Brandt's bat), 1528 nucleotides. RefSeq lists it as uncharacterized. The record is from RefSeq and is a predicted model, not a curated record. Lineage: Eukaryota; Metazoa; Chordata; Mammalia; Chiroptera; Vespertilionidae. The transcript is spliced from 3 exons.
GCUAGUGAGGAUUAAAGCGUCUCUUGAGGCGGGGAGAGCGGCUCGGCUCCUGCCUUUGCGCAGAGACCUGUGGGAAAUGUAGGAACAUGCAGGGCUCCGGUCCAGCUGGCGCUCGCGUUUCUCCGGCUCUGGGGGUCGCGGGUGGAGCAGGAUCGGUGGGGAAGAGGAGGGCCUUGGCUUCUCCACUGGAACAGGUGGCGCUGCGCAGGAGCAUCUACCCACCUACCUCUUGCUUAUCCCAUGCUGGAAUCUCCCUUCUACCCUACAGUCCCGAGAAUUCUUUAGAUUUCAAUGAAGCAGUUUUUAAAGAGACCUGCUGAGAAAUGGGGAAAAUAUUUUAAAAAGAAAUAAAAGACAACGGCUCUAAGUUAGCCCCCUUGCUCUGCUGCUCAUCGGACGCUUUAUGAGGGUACAGAGAACCGUGGCGCUGCGCAUAUGGGGGAUCCAUUUUAUGACAGGACUUCCUUCCGGCAGUUACUUCCGCCCGCAGGGAGCGUCGGGAGUUCUUGCGGGUGUUCUCCACCAUAAUUGGCCUCAAGUGAGGUACCAAGACCCUGCGCCCCAGCCCAAAUCUUAUGUCUGCCCUGGAGGACAUUUGUUCUGCCCGGCUGCAGUGGCGUCGUUCUCAUUUCACGGAGAGGAAACUGAGCGUGUGGUGGAUAAAGGGUUGUCCACCUGCCCAGCUUAUACCGACAGUUGUAAAGUCAGAACUCUGUACAGUCGGAACGAAUUCCGAUGGUCUCAGACCUGUCCUGUCCACUUCGUAUGGUGUUAAUCGCCUUUUCUCAGGUGUGCUGCUGCUGCCCUAGUUUUAAACCACGGACACCCUGGCUAUCCUAACAGUUUUAUCCAUCCAGUAUUUAUUGAGGGUUUGCUAAAUGCCUGGCGUUGUGUGUGCUGGAUGCUGGGGACACGGUUUUGAAUGGGGCAGACACAACCCCACCCUCACGGAAUUUAUAAUCUAAUAGGGAAGACAGACAUUGAUUACACAACACAAACAAGAAUAAAAUUUCAAGCUGUGCUAAACAGAAAAAAGAAACAGGGUGCUACAAGAGAGAAUAACGGAGGGAGCUAUAAAUAGGUUGGGAGAUGAAGGAAAGGAAGAACGGCUUGACCUGAGACCUGAAAGCAGAGAAAAUAGAAACUUUGUAACAGCAAAGAAGAGAGUGAUCCAGACCGAGGGAACAUCCCGUGCAAGGGCCCCGCAGCUGCCUCGGGCUUCCUCAGCUACUGCAGUUGGCUUCUAGAAUCCCUCCUUUUCAUUGUGGACAAAUAAUGGCUUAUGCCAUUCAAUGGAGAUUACUGGAACCAGUGCUUUAUAACCACCUCCUCCAUCCUGACCCUUUGGGGGUGUGCCCAGGGACAGCUGCAAAACCAAGAGAAAAUUGAUGCUUCCAGAGCCUCUGUUUACUGGAUAACAAGCCUCCGCUCUUCAUUUUUCAUGAACAUUUCUCCCUGCUAUUCUUUCAACGAGGUCUGGGAACAAUGCAUUUCUCGGUCCUGUGCCUGGAGCUCUUCUGCGGAUACG